This 1826-nucleotide unclassified non-coding RNA is filed under the name Hevea brasiliensis (rubber tree). The record is from RNAcentral. Lineage: Eukaryota; Viridiplantae; Streptophyta; Magnoliopsida; Malpighiales; Euphorbiaceae.
CCGAAGCCGAAAACGAGAAAUCUAAUCAAUAAUCAACCAAGAAAAUCAAGAUUAGCCAUUCUAUAACUAUAAUCAUCAUCAAAACAGCAAGCAAGAAGCCAUGCGAGGACAAGAAGCUUAGAAAAAAUGGGUUAAAAGCAGAAAAAUGGGUUAAAAGCAUAAUUAAAGGGGAUGGAGGACGGUGAGAACAUAAGAGAGAAUAGGAGGGACAAAAUAGGUCAAAAGGAAAUUGACCGUAUAAAUCAUAGCGUUUUUCUCUAAUGCAGGGAACAAUCUUGAAUGAUACAGAAUUCUAACAACUACUCUCUCUGUAAUUAACUGUUAACAGUUCUAUAUCCAUUCCAAAAUGAGAGAUCAAAAUCAAUGGUAGCACUAGCAGCAAAAAGGGGAAAAAGAAAAAAAAUCUAAAAUAGUUGGCAUUACUAUAAAAAAGAAAAUCAGCAAUCAUCAUCAAUAAAACCACAGUUAGCAAAUAAAUAACAUGGAACAUAUGGAAAAUUCAGCAUAAUUAAAUGGUAAUCAUUACCUUUACAAUAUCACUUGUUUUACUUAUUGUUCCAAGGAUCCAAAGCUAUGAGGUGGCCACACCUAAAGACGGAAAAUAAAAAUGGUUCACUUAAUUCUUAUCAUCAAUCAACAUAGGUAACAAAAAAGAACAAAAGACUUGAUGAACCUUCAGAGCAUAAUACUCUACCUGUGAACUAUUAAUGGUCACAGGAAUGAUGGCAUAUUUGUAGGAAAAUUGUGCUCAUUAUACCAUGAUAAGGAUGUACAAAAACAUUACGCAACAAUAUUGAUUGAACAAGUUCUCUCAAUUCACAAUGAAAACAAUUUUUUUCCCCUCAACUGACAAGAUUUGAACUUGAGACUUGAAUCAACCUCACACCAUUCUUUGUAAGCCAACCAAAGCCAAAGGCUACAUAAGCUAAAGCCUUAGAAUAUGAGACAAUGAAGUUAACUUUGGAUAAAAAAUCAUCCACUCUAUACACGAAAUACUAUUCCAAAGAGCUAUUGAAAUCAAAAUACAGAUUUAGAAUAUAAACUUCUACUCCCCUUUUCACGCACACCCUCCCUCUCCUUACACUCUCUUUGGAUUGGGUGAGGGAAAAGUAAUUAAUGAAGGGAGGAUAAGAAGGGUUAUAAUAAAAAAAUUUUAUGUUUAGGAAGAGGUAAAUUAAUGAAAAGAGUAAAACAGGUAAUGUGUAUUCUUUAUGUUUGAGAAUAGGUGGAGAAAAGACAUUAAAUAAAGUAAAAAACACAGCAUCUCACCUCCACUUCCUUACACCCCAAACUGAGGUGUCGAAAAAAUAGAGAUUUGAGGAGUAAGGGAGAGUAAGGCAUCAACUCACUUCUUUCCAAACUAGAGUACAUAAUUUACUUACCCCUCUUUCACCUCCACCCAAACAUAGUGUUAGAAACCUAAAUCUAACAAUUCUUAGAAACAAACUUUUAAGAACACUAGUGUUAUUUGAAAAUUAUUAUUGUUGGUGGUGGGAUAAAUUGGGUUUUUGGAACCAUUUCCAAUUUUCUUUAUGGUUGAUUUUGUUGUGUUAGGAUGAUGUUAAUAGUGCUAAGAAAACAGCAUUGGCUGAGCUAUGGUGGCCAUGGCAGUCAUGUUCAAACACAUGCAUUUGGUUUACUGACCAGUGAUUACAGUUAACAAAAGCUUUAGUUUUGCAAUUUCAGUAGUUCAGUGUCAGAUCAGAGAUUUGCUGAACAAAUGACAUCACUGAAGUCGGCAAAAAUUGCUCAAGGAUUAUUAUAUGAAGUGAGAGCACCCUUAAUAUUAUGUUUUGGGCCAAGUCCUUUGCAUUCAAAUUUAUAUU